CCGGCCCGUUAGGCUUUUUAAUCCGGCCCGCCGAACUUGUCCAAAUCGCGACUUUGUUUACUUCCGGUGUGCGUUGGCGCGGAAAGUACUCGUCACACAAAACCCUUCACCAUGAUUUGUCAAUCCGUUUGUCUGUCAACAUUUUGCGAAAAAACAACAACCAAUGAACACUCAGUAAAUCACAAAGGACCCGCCCACCACACAGGUGAAGCUCAUUUAGAAACAGCUGCAGUGAUUUUGGCGAGCAGCGCGGAGCCUGGAGGGGCUGCAGAGCCACGAGGAGGAACACGCAGCCAGAAGAGAGCCACUUGGACCGGAGAGGAUUCACCAGCGCCUGCAGCUCCACCUGCAGCUCCACCUGCAGCUCCACCUGCAGCUCCACCUGCAGCUCCACCUGCCCGGCCAGCAGAGAGCUCUCGUGCCCCUGAGGACCACCAGCAUGACACGAUGACAUGAUGUUAUUAUAGUGAAGCCAUAUUGUAAAUAGUCAAUAGUUGUGUUCUGUUUUCUAUUUCACAACAUGUAUAUAAUGUAGAGUUUUUUAUUUAUUUUAUGUACAAUACAUAUUUGUAAAAAUUAAAAAAAUGUAAUGGUCA
Pseudoliparis swirei is the source of this 596-nucleotide long non-coding RNA. RefSeq lists it as uncharacterized. The record is from RefSeq and is a predicted model, not a curated record. The transcript has 2 exons. NCBI's taxonomy places the organism in Eukaryota, Metazoa, Chordata, Actinopteri, Perciformes, Liparidae.